AAGGGAAUCAGUAUUGACAAAGCAUAAUCCCCAACAAAACCUUAAUAACUAGUUUUAAAUUCAUCGGUUUUUAAAAAUUUCUUAUUAGACUUGAUUUACAGUGUUGUGUCAGUGUCUCCUGUACAGCAGAGUAACCCAGUUACCCAGUUAUAUAUAUUCUUCUUUUCACAUUAUCUGCCAACACAUUCCAUCACAAGUGAUCAGAUACAGUUCUUUGGUAUAUAGAGCAGAAUCUCAUUGCUUAUCCAUUCCAAAUGCAAUAGUUUACAACUCCCAGUCCCUCCUACUCCUUCCCCUGCCCCACAACCACAAGUCUGUUCUCCAUGUCUACGAGCUUGUUUCUUUUCUGUAGAUAGAUUCAUUUGUACCAUAUCUGAGAUUCCAUAUAUAAGUGAUAUUGUAUGGUAUUUGUCUUUCUCCUUCUGACUUACUUCACUUAGUAUGAGAGUCUCUAUGUUGCUACAAACAACAUUAUUUUGUUCUUUUUUAUAGCUGAGUAGUAUUCCAUUGUGUAUAUAUACCACAUCUUCUUAAUCCAAUCAUCCAUUGUGGACAUUUAAGUUGUUUCCAUAUUUUGGAUAUAGUGAAUAGGGGUGCAUGUAUAUUUUUCAAUGAAUGCUUUGUCUGGAUUAUGCUCAGGAGUGGGAUUAAUGGGUCGGUCAUAUGGUCGUUCUAUAUUUAGUUUUCUGAGGUACCUCCAUACUGUUUUUCAUAGUGGUUGUACCAGUUUACAGUCCCACCAACAGUUUAGGAGGGUUCCCUUUUCUCUACCUCUCCAGCAUUUUGUUAUUUGUAGAUUUACUGAUGAUGGCCAUUCUGACUGGUGUGAGGUGGUACCUCAAUGUAGUUUUGAUUUGCAUUUCUCUAAUAAUUCGUGAUGUUAAGCAUUUAUUCAUGUGCCUGUUGGCCAUCCAUAUUUCUUCUUUGGAGAAAUGUCUCUUUAGUUCUUCUGCCCAUUUAUCAUUGGGUUGUUUGUUUUUUUGCUGUUGAGUUGUAUGAAUUAUUUUUAUACUUUGGAGAUUAAGCCCUUGUCAGCUGGUCACUUGCUUAGUUUGCAACUAUUUUCUCCCAUUCAUAGAUUGUCUUUUCGUUUUUUUUUUUUUUUUAAUGGUUUCCAUGGCUGUGCAGAAGCUUUUGAGUUUAAUUAGGUCCCAUUGGUUUAUUUUUGUUUUUACUUCUUUUGCUUUGGGAGACUUACCUAAGAAAACAUGUGUCGAUUGAUGUCAGAGAAUGUUUUGCCUAUGUUCUUUCUAGAAGUUUUAUAGUGUCUUAUGUUUAAAUCUUUAAGCCAUUUUAAGUUUAUUUUUGUGCAUGGUAUGAGGGUAUGUCCUAGUUUCAUUGAUUUAUAUGCAGCUGUCCAGUUUUCCCAGCACCACUUGUUGCAGAGACUGUCUUUUUCCCAUUGACCAUGGGUGUAUGGAUUUAUUUCUGAAAGACUUCCUGCUAAAAUCUGGAACAAGACAAGGAUGCCCACUCUCACCACUUUUAUUCAACAUAGUAUUGGAAGUCCUAGCCACAGCAGUCUGACAAACAAAAAAAUAAAAGGUAUCUAAAUUGGAAGAAAAGAGGUAAAAUUGUCACUCUACGCAGAUGACAUGUUACUAUAUAUAGAAAACCUAAGGAUUCCACACAAAAACUACUCAGACUGGUCAAUGAAUUCAGCAGGUAGCAGGAUACAAGAUUAACAUUCAAAAAUCUGCUACAUUUCUAUGUACUGACAAUGAAAUAUUAGAAAAGGAAUAUAAAAAUAAAUACCUUUUAAAAUUGCACCCCCAAAAAAUUAAAUACCUAGAUAAACAUGACCAAAGAGGUGAAAGACUUAUAUGCUGAGAAUUUUAUAAAACAUUAAUCAAGGAAAUUAAAGAGGAUUCGAAAAAAUGGAAAGAUAUUCUAUGCUCCUGGGUUGGAAGAAUUAAUAUCAUUAAAAUAGUCAUACUACCCAAAGCAAUCUACAGGUUCAAUGCAAUCCCUAUCAAAUUACCCAUGACAUUUUUCACAGAACUAGAACAAACAAUCCAAACAUCAUAUGGAAUCAUAAAAGACCCAGAAUUGCCAAAGCAAUCCUGAAGGGAAAAACCAAGCAGGCGGCAUUAACUCUCCCAGACUUCAGACACUACUACAAGGCCACAGUAAUCAAGACAGAAUUGUACUGGGACCAAAACAAACAUACCGACCAAUGGAACAGACCAGAGAACCCAGAAAUUCACCAGUUUUUUUUUCCCUGCUAUACUCAUUACCAUUGUUUAUAGAGCUAACGUUUACCUCUUCUCCUUUAAAGUUGUAAGAGGUGUUUUUAAAAGUCAUCACAUCUGCCAGGUAGGCUGAUUUACCUUGUGGUAGUAAACAAUCACAGAAUUUUACUUCUCAUUCAUGCUACAUGCCAACAGAGACGGACUGCAGCUCCACUUACUAUCAUCUUUACUCCGAGUCAUAGGCUGAGGAUAUAGCCUCUGUCUGGAAUGCCACCAGUUUUGUGGUAGAGAGAAAAGAGGAUUCCUUCCUGUUAUCGAACACUGGCUGUUAAAACUUCAGUCCAGAAUUGACACACCUCACUCCUGCUCACAUCUCAUUAUCCAAACAGAUCAUAUCAUGAAGCUUGGGCAUAGAAGGAAGUCCUUCCUCUCUUUCCAAAUUUAAUCUUAUAUACCUUGAACUUUAGGGAAGAUGCCCUUGAGCUCUUUCUCCUGGGCUAUUUUUUUCCACCUGGGGACCACCUUAAGCCAUUCAGAGGUUUUUUUAAAGAUUAUAAAGGCUAUGCCUUUAACUUGGUACUUUGCCCUGAGACUGAGAUUUAAUUAGCCUUCAUUGCUCUAAGGUCUCCUUAGUUUUUUCUAUUACAUUUUGAGUUUUAAAGAAAGCCUUUGUCUAAUCCUAUAAGAUUUGGAAUUUCUGGGCUCUCAGUCUCUUUUAUUUCUGCUUUACAAAGUGUUCAUUUCCUUUUUUUAAAAAUCAUCUCUUUCUCAUGGUACCUUGUCAAAUGCAGCUAGCAGCAAUCAGAGGAUGCUAUUAGCAUUCCAUUUUUCACCUUCUUCACCUAAAACAAUAAGCUCAUUAGGUGCAUUAUAUGUAUUCUAAGUUGUCACAGGUGACAAUUUUAGCAAAUGUUUUCCUGCUGCAAGAGGGAUUGUUGUUCUUCUAGGCACCACUAAAAGAGUUUCUUCUUAGGACCACUGCCUGGCACCAAGCCAAUGCUCUGUGUUUUAAAGCUUUUUGUUGUUACAGGGGCACACUAUUCAUGAUAGCAACAAAAGACCUCCAGAUCUGAGUAAUUUAAAACAGAGGUGUUACUGUCCCCUAACCCUAUAUGCCUGUCACAGAUCAUCUGUGUCUUUACUCCUCUAAGAAAGGGCUAUGGGUAUUUAACACUAUGGUCAACUAUGAUUAUUGACUCAAAAUGUUAUUUCGCUCAUAAAAUCUGAUUUUGCCCCAUCUUCAUAUACUUGUAUUAAUACAUGCAUUCAACAAAAAUUUAUCGGUUGCUGACUGUGUGUUAGACUCCAUUCUUAGGCUCUAGGGUAACAACAAAGAGCCAGGCAGACAAGAGCCCUGCUUUCAAAUCAGCCCAUCUCUCUAGCCCUUUGACUUUGCUUUAACAAAAGCAUUUUCCUUUUCCUAUCUAUCCCAUGAAGCUGUCUUGAUCAAACUCCGCACAAAAGAUGAUAUUUAAGCCAGCCUAUAAAAAUAAGCAGAGCUUGAAUAGGCAAAGGAAGAAUAGAGACUAGCACUCUAGGCAGAGGACCAGGAAGGACUGGAGUUGAGAGAGUAUGAGCCUAGGGCAGGGAGUCCUGGGCUGAGCUCAGAAGGCAUUGGGUCCUCUUCAGAGUGGGUACAAGCAAAAGGAAGGAUGGUCCCCUGAGGGAUCUUGGUUUUCAACUUUUGUCUCAGACCUUUGUUCUGUAUCACCUCUGAUAAGGUUCAUGAAGCAAGAGCUUCCUGAGACAGCUGUCCUUUCUAACUUCCUGUUUCCAGCCACUCAAGAUUCAUGCCCUUGUCAUUGCUCGUGGGUGGGAGCCACGGAAGAAUUUAAAUGCAGUACCAUGGGAUCAGCUUGAGCUCCAGAAACUAAGAGAUAGGAGGUGGAACAUCAGUAGGAAACUAUUACAGAUGUCUGCCGAGUCUUGGGCCCUGCUGAGAAUGCAUUAAUGGGGAGAAACUGCCCCUUUUUUAAAACAUUGCCAUGAAUGUAGUCAUGUCAGUUUGCUUGAAUGUGUCAGGUAAGUUUUCCCUGGCUGUUUUGCUCAAAUGCAUGCAUGUCCCAUGGCCAAGGAUGCCCAGGCUCUGAUAGGUUGAAGAACCAAUGCUUGGACAUAGGAAGGAAAGGAUACCCUGAAGUUCUUACCUGAAAAAAGUAAAAUGUGAGAGUGUCAACUAGGAUUAUUAAGAGAAUAAGUCCUUUACCAAAAUAGGGAACUCAGGGAGAUUGUUGAAAUAUGUACUAGCCGUUUGAAUGGUUAACUAAUCUUAUUCUUGGCACAUUGAGUUUGAGGUUGGAACAGGAUUCCUCUGAGGAGUUGUAAAGCAGACAGGUGGGAAGCUCAGAAAAGCGUCCACAGCUAGAAUGCAGAGGUAACUGAAAUGUGAGAGUUUGAAGGGGAUUGUAUAGGGAUAAAAUUUAGAGUAAGAAAAGAAUAGGGGGAGGCCAGGAUAGGCAGGAAUGACCACAUGGAAGAGGUAGGGAGCUGAGGAAGAGAAGACAGAAAAAUGAACUAAGAGAAAUGUGGAGAAAAGGGAGAUGAACCAGGAAAAGGGAUGCCACAGAAGCCAGUCUGUUUUUACAUCUGCAGUGGUUAACGAAUCCAACUAGGAACCAUGAGGUUGCGGGUUCGCUUCCUGGCCUUGCUCAGUGGGUUGGGGAUCCGGCGUUGCCAUGAGCUGUGGUGUAGGUCACAGAUGCGGCUCGAAUCUGGCGUUACUAUGGCUGCGGUGUAGGCUGGCGGCUACAGCUCUGAUUCGACCCCUAGCCUGGGAACCUCCAUGUGCUACAGGA
RNAcentral lists this long non-coding RNA (4987 nucleotides) under Sus scrofa (pig). Its description in RNAcentral is "lncRNA (ENSSSCG00035048809.1)". The record is from RNAcentral. Lineage: Eukaryota; Metazoa; Chordata; Mammalia; Artiodactyla; Suidae.